This 28-nucleotide transfer RNA is filed under the name Paleosuchus palpebrosus (Cuvier's dwarf caiman). RNAcentral describes it as "partial tRNA-Gly". The record is from RNAcentral. Lineage: Eukaryota; Metazoa; Chordata; Crocodylia; Alligatoridae.
ACCCCAGCACCCCGCCUGGGGAAAAGCA